UACGGAGGGUGCGAGCGUUAAUCGGAAUUACUGGGCGUAAAGCGCGCGUAGGCGGUUUGUUAAGUCGGAUGUGAAAUCCCCGGGCUCAACCUGGGAACUGCACCCGAUACUGGCCGACUUGAGUGCGAGAGAGGGAGGUAGAAUUCCACGUGUAGCGGUGAAAUGCGUAGAUAUGUGGAGGAAUACCGGUGGCGAAGGCGGCCUCCUGGCUCGACACUGACGCUGAGGUGCGAAAGCGUGGGGAGCAAAC
RNAcentral lists this ribosomal RNA (250 nucleotides) under uncultured bacterium. RNAcentral describes it as "partial 16S ribosomal RNA". It matches the Rfam family "Bacterial small subunit ribosomal RNA", at positions 524 to 773 of the family's 1533-position model. The record is from RNAcentral.